UACGGAGGGUGCAAGCGUUAAUCGGAAUUACUGGGCGUAAAGCGCGCGUAGGCGGUUUGUUAAGUCGGAUGUGAAAGCCCUGGGCUCAACCUGGGAACUGCAUACGAUACUGGCAAGCUAGAGUGCAAUAGAGGGGGGUAGAAUUCCAGGUGUAGCGGUGAAAUGCGUAGAUAUCUGGAGGAAUACCGGUGGCGAAGGCGGCCCCCUGGAUUGACACUGACGCUGAGGUGCGAAAGCGUGGGUAGCAAACAGG
RNAcentral lists this ribosomal RNA (253 nucleotides) under uncultured bacterium. RNAcentral's name for it is "partial 16S ribosomal RNA". It matches the Rfam family "Bacterial small subunit ribosomal RNA", at positions 524 to 776 of the family's 1533-position model. The record is from RNAcentral.